AGCGAACGCUGGCGGCAGGCUUAACACAUGCAAGUCGAGCGGGCAUCCUUGUGGUGUCAGCGGCAGACGGGUGAGUAACGCGUGGGAACGUGCCCUUCGGUUCGGAAUAACUCAGGGAAACUUGAGCUAAUACCGGAUACGUGCGAGAGCAGAAAGGUUUAUCUGCCGAAGGAUCGGCCCGCGUCUGAUUAGCUAGUUGGUGAGGUUAUGGCUCACCAAGGCGACGAUCAGUAGCUGGUCUGAGAGGAUGAUCAGCCACACUGGGACUGGGACACGGCCCAGACUCCUACGGGAGGCAGCAGUGGGGAAUAUUGGACAAUGGGGGCAACCCUGAUCCAGCCAUGCCGGGUGAGUGAUGACGGCCUUAGGGUUGUAAAGCUCUUUUCUCCGGGACGAUAAUGACGGUACCGGAGGAAUAAGCCCCGGCUAACUUCGUG
RNAcentral lists this ribosomal RNA (437 nucleotides) under uncultured bacterium. Its description in RNAcentral is "partial 16S ribosomal RNA". It matches the Rfam family "Bacterial small subunit ribosomal RNA", at positions 29 to 507 of the family's 1533-position model. The record is from RNAcentral.